Long non-coding RNA from Mustela lutreola (European mink), 2792 nucleotides. RefSeq lists it as uncharacterized. The record is from RefSeq and is a predicted model, not a curated record. Lineage: Eukaryota; Metazoa; Chordata; Mammalia; Carnivora; Mustelidae. The transcript is spliced from 2 exons.
UCUCUCUAUAAAGAGAUCAAAAACAAAAAAAUCCUUCACUACCCUCUGAAUAAUCUACCUCUCAUAUUAUGUAGUUGCCUAGACAAUUUCUCUAGAACGUCCCCACUGGAUAUGUGGUUGUAGACAAGAGCCGUUCCAAGAAAACCCACACAAAUCCCUCCACCACCCACUUCCCCAACUUCCCUCAGAGCAAUCUGUGUUGUAGCUUCAAUAUCACGAGAAUUUUCAUGAUGUUUUGCAACUCUGCAGGAUCAGUGUCUGGGACUUGUUUUCUGGUCACUGUGACAUCUGCUGUGCCUGACACCUUUCCUCGUAAAGGCCCCGCUCCUGGAUCUAGCGAAAUUCCUGUUGUCCAUUGCCUUUACUGGAUUAAUAAAGGAACUCUCUUAGUUUUCAGAUAGAUACGGCUGCUAUUUGCCCUGAAUAGGAAAAGUGGAUUCUGAAAUUUCCAGCGAGUUGCAAGCUGAGUUUCCUUCUCCAACCAAGACAAACGCAGAAAGGGCAGGAACCUCCAUACUGCUUUCCACAGGGACUACACCCAUUUGCAUUCCUACCAACAGUGCACAAGAAUUCCUUUUUCUCCACAUACUUGCCAACACUUAUUGUUUCUUGUGCUUAUGAUUUUAGCCAUUCUGACAAGUGUAAAGUGAUAUCUCAUUGUGGUUUGAAUUUGCAUUUCUCUGAUGAGUAGUGCAAUCUACAGAUUUAAUGCAAUUCCUAUCAAAAUUCCAACAUUUUUUGUUCACAGAACUAAAACAAAUAAUCCUAAAAUUUGCAUAGAACCACAAGAGACCCCAAAUAGCAAAAGCAAUCUUGAGAAAGGAGAACAGAGCUGGAGGUAUCAUACUCUCCGAUUUCAAGGUAUACUACAAAGCUGUAGUAAUCAAAACAGUAUGGUACUGGCCUCAAAACAGACACAUAGGUCAACAGAAGAGGAUUGAGACUCCAGAAAUGAAACCACACUUAUACAGUCAGUUAAUCUAUGACAAAGGAGGCAAGAAUAUGCAAUGAACAAAGGACAGUUUCUUCAACAAAUGGUGUUGAGAAAACUGAACAGCUACAUGCAAAAGAAUGAAAUCGGACCACUCUUAUACUAUACACAAAAAUAAACUCAAAACACAUUAAAGAUCUAAAUGUGAUACCUGAAACCAUAACACUCCUAGAAAAAAAAUAGGCAGUAAUUCCUUUGAUAUUAGCCAUAGAAACAUUUUUCUAGAUACAUCUCCUCAGGCAAGAGAAAAAAAAAAGUGAAAUCACCUAUCGGAACUAUUGCGGAAGAAAAGGCUCUUGUACAGCAAAGGAAACCACCAACAAAACAAAAAGGCAAACCACUGAUUGGGAGAGGAUAUUUGCAAAUGAUAUAUCCAACUAAGGGUUAAUAUCCAAACUUAAGAAAGAACUUACACAACUCAACAUCAAAACAAACGAACAAACAAACCAAUCAAAAAAUGGGCAGAGGACCUAAAUAGACAGUUUUCCAAAGAAGACAUACAGAUGGCCAACAGACACAUGAAAAGAUGCUCAACAUCACUGAGAGGGCUCAUCUACUACCCCCUCAUCUUGACAAUGAUUUCUGAAAUCCUACUUAUUCUAUCUUUUCAACUGUAGCUUCAUAUAGUGUCUUCACACAGAUUUUUUAAAAAAGAUUUUAUUUAUUUAUUUGAGAGAGAGACAGUGAGAGAGACCAUGAGAGAAGAGAAGGUCAGAGGGAAAAGCAGACUCCCCAUGGAGCUGGGAGCCCCAUGUGGGACUUGCUAAAGGCAGUUGCUUAACCAACCCAGGUGCCCUCUUCACACAAAUUUUAACCAAACAGAACAAUGUGAUGAUCUCUCAACCACAGUUUUCUAUCUUUCUGCUUUGCUCACAUAUCCUAUUCUCUGCCUGAAAAGCUUUCCUUCUGUUUUACUUAUGGACACGUCCUAUCACCCCAUCUUUAUUCUACAUAUAUUCAUGAGGUACUCACUGUGUCUUAGGCACUAUUCUAAGUGAAUAAGAUAUAACUUGCCCCUCAAAGUGUUAACGAUAAAGUCACUUCCAUAAUAGGCACAUAUAUAUGGCCCUAGGGAAGCACAUAAAAGAAAACAGUUGACUUUGAAGAGGCUUUACAUGUGUAUCUCCCCUACUAACCAUAUGAUCAUCAGAGCAAAGCUGUCCUAUACACAACAAAUAUGCCCUAAAUGUCACAGUGCCAAGAAUUGAAAUAGACACUUAGAGUGUCUGGGGCUCUUAUCCUUAUAGUGACUUCAAUUUACUGAUGAUUAAGUUUUUAGAACACAGACAGUUAGUAUUACUCCCUACUUCCUGUAUUCUUCUUUCAAGACAUUUUCAUAUAGUGCUAUAGUGAGUGAAAGUAAUGACCAGUCUUGGUAGAAAUAGAAAAUCUAGAGAAUACAUAAGAAAAAAAAGUAUCUCUCUUUUUCUUUUUUCUUUUAAGAGUAAGCUUUUUGAGUUGAAUUAUUUUCAUCAAGGCAAAAAUGAUCCUUCCAAAUGGGGAGGGAAAACAAAAUAAAACAUUUCUUUGAAGUCAAAUGGGCUUUUGCUUUGGAUCUUAUUAUAGCUCUAAGAGAUGCUCUAAGAGAACUUUUAGUACCACAAACUACAGAGUUGAAGUUGUAAGUUGGGGGAGAAAUUUGAGAAUAUUUUCACUUAAGUAGUAAAUUUCUAUAACGGGUAGCUCAGUUUGUUCUACUAAUCAUGCUUCUCAUCUCUACAGACCGAUGUAUUGCUUCUCAUUUGAACCCUGUAAGACACAAUUUUCCCAGCUACAAUAAAGCUGAAAAACAUGAAAAAAA